Molecule: small RNA, 116 nt
Filed under: Arabidopsis thaliana (thale cress)
Lineage: Eukaryota; Viridiplantae; Streptophyta; Magnoliopsida; Brassicales; Brassicaceae
Description: ATSL253280
Source: RNAcentral
UACGAUAAAUAUAAUUUGCAAACUUUUAUAUAUAGUAACUUUAAAAAAUAAAUUGUCUCCGCGGUAUACCGUGGGUUAAAAUUUAGUAGUGUUGUAUAAACCACGAGGCUGUGUGC